Molecule: ribosomal RNA, 397 nt
Filed under: uncultured bacterium
Lineage: Bacteria
Description: partial 16S ribosomal RNA
Rfam family: Bacterial small subunit ribosomal RNA
Source: RNAcentral
AUACGUAUGGUGCAAGCGUUAUCCGGAUUUACUGGGUGUAAAGGGAGCGUAGGUGGUUUGGUAAGUCAGAUGUGAAAACCCGGGGCUCAACCCCGGGAGUGCAUUUGAAACUACCAGACUAGAGUGCAGGAGAGGUAAGUGGAAUUCCUAGUGUAGCGGUGAAAUGCGUAGAUAUUAGGAGGAACACCAGUGGCGAAGGCGGCUUACUGGACUGUAACUGGCACUGAAGUUCGAAAGCUUGGGGAGAAAACAGGAUUAUAUACCCGGGUAGUCCACGCCGUAAACGAUGAAUACUAGGUGUCGGGAGGCUAUUGCCUUUCGGUGCCGCAGCUAACGCAUUAAGUAUUCCACCUGGGGAGUACGUUCGCAAGAAUGAAACUCAAAUGAAUUGACGGGG